This 440-nucleotide ribosomal RNA is filed under the name uncultured bacterium. Its description in RNAcentral is "partial 16S ribosomal RNA". It matches the Rfam family "Bacterial small subunit ribosomal RNA", at positions 338 to 795 of the family's 1533-position model. The record is from RNAcentral.
CCUACGGGCGGCAGCAGUGGGGAAUAUUGCACAAUGGGGGGAACCCUGAUGCAGCGACGCCGCGUGAGCGAUGAAGUAUUUCGGUAUGUAAAGCUCUAUCAGCAGGGAAGAAAAUGACGGUACCUGACUAAGAAGCCCCGGCUAACUACGUGCCAGCAGCCGCGGUAAUACGUGGGGGGCAAGCGUUAUCCGGAUUUACUGGGUGUAAAGGGAGCGUAGACGGUACUGCAAGUCCGACGUGAAAGCCCGGGGCCCAACCCCGGGACUGCAUUGGAAACUGCAAGGCUAGAGUGGAGGAGAGGCAGGCGGAAUUCCUGGUGUAGCGGUGAAAUGCGUAGAUAUUAGGAGGAACACCAGUGGCGAAGGCGGCUUGCUGGACGAUGACUGACGUUGAGGCUCGAAAGCGUGGGGAGCAAACAGGAUUAGAUACCCCGGUAGUC